This 276-nucleotide unclassified non-coding RNA is filed under the name Hevea brasiliensis (rubber tree). The record is from RNAcentral. Lineage: Eukaryota; Viridiplantae; Streptophyta; Magnoliopsida; Malpighiales; Euphorbiaceae.
AGCUGAUUCCCACUUCAACUGCCACGUUAAUCCUAUUACAUUUGGGUCAAAGAAACGCAAUCCUCAAGCCAAUCCUCGCACAUUUCAUGCACAAGAUCCACAGUCACAUGGUAGUUGGCCUAGUGACCUCGAUUCAAGUGACAUCAAUUCAGAUGUGAAUGUCUUUCAUCAGAGUCGUCCAAGGAGGUUGGUGGUAGCCCAGGGUAAUGUGCGUCUUUGCCAUCCUAUUGCUGGUGGUGCCCCAUUUAUAACGUGCUACAGUUGCUUUAACUUACU